AAACCAUGCAUCGAGCAUUUCCGCAACAACUCUUUGAACCUCUCCUAAGCUUCAUACAAGUUUUCAUCAUCUAAUUGCUUGAAAGAUGUGAUGUCAUUCCUUAAUCU
Small nucleolar RNA from Hibiscus syriacus, 107 nucleotides. The record is from RefSeq and is a predicted model, not a curated record. Lineage: Eukaryota; Viridiplantae; Streptophyta; Magnoliopsida; Malvales; Malvaceae.